CUGCUUAGAGGUUAAGCCCGAUGAACCUGAAUAUCCAUUAUGAAAAAUUCAUUAUUAUACCUGUAAUAUUAAUUUUAUUAAUAUUAUGGUGAUGGUAUGCAUUUUUUUCAUAUAAGGACAUUGUAAUCUAUUAACAUAAUAAAAUAUUUAUCAAAAGAUCAUUGGUUUUAAGUUUAUUCAAAUUAAUUUGCUUUUGCCUUUNGCUUAUUAACAUAGAAUAAAUACUAGUGAUUUGAUAAAGUGUUGAUAGAUUUUAUUAUAUAUAAUGCUAAAAUUCUUUGGAAUUUUACAAUAAUUNUAUAAUCUAUGAUUUUAAUAUUUAUUGUAUGCAUUUAUAUGAUUAACAAUGCGAAAGAUUCAGGAUACCUUCGGGACCCGUCUUGAAACACGGACCAAGGAGUCUAACAUAUGUGCAAGUCAUUGGGUUAUUUUAAACCUAAUGGCGUAAUUAACUUAACUAUUAAUAUUUUAAUGGGAUUAGUUUUUAGUCUAUUUUUAAUAGUCUAUUAAUUCAAUCCCGGGGCGUUCCAUAUAGUUAUGUAUAAUGAUAAUUUAUUAUU
This 560-nucleotide ribosomal RNA is filed under the name Rhagoletis fausta. RNAcentral's name for it is "partial 28S ribosomal RNA". The record is from RNAcentral. Lineage: Eukaryota; Metazoa; Arthropoda; Insecta; Diptera; Tephritidae.